CCUACGUGAGGCAGCAGUAGGGAAUAUUGCUCAAUGGGGGAAACCCUGAAGCAGCAACGCCGCGUGGAGGAUGAAGGUUUUCGGAUUGUAAACUCCUUUGGUUAGAGAAGAUAAUGACGGUAUCUAACGAAUAAGCACCGGCUAACUCCGUGCCAGCAGCCGCGGUAAUACGGAGGGUGCAAGCGUUACUCGGAAUCACUGGGAGUAAAGAGGGAGUAGGCUGGAUAGCAAGUCAGAUGUGAAAUCCUAUGGCUUAACCAUAGAACUGCAUGUGAAAAUGUUAUUCUAGAGUAUGGGAGAGGUAGGUGGAAUUCUUGGUGUAGGGGUAAAAUCCGUAGAGAUCAAGAGGAAUACUCAUUGCGAAGGCGACCUGCUAGAACAUAACUGACGCUGAUGCGCGAAAGCGUGGGGAGCAAACAGGAUUAGAUACCCCAGUAGUC
This 440-nucleotide ribosomal RNA is filed under the name uncultured bacterium. RNAcentral's name for it is "partial 16S ribosomal RNA". It matches the Rfam family "Bacterial small subunit ribosomal RNA", at positions 338 to 795 of the family's 1533-position model. The record is from RNAcentral.